RNAcentral lists this ribosomal RNA (403 nucleotides) under uncultured bacterium. Its description in RNAcentral is "partial 16S ribosomal RNA". It matches the Rfam family "Bacterial small subunit ribosomal RNA", at positions 30 to 526 of the family's 1533-position model. The record is from RNAcentral.
AUUGAACGCUGGCGGCAGGCCUAACACAUGCAAGUCGAGCGAGCGGCGGACGGGUGCGUGAUGUAUGUGGGCUGCCCGCUAUAGGGGGAUAACUACUCGGAACGGUGGCUAUUAUCCCAUACUGUCGGAUAACACCUAUGGGAUUAGCUAGUAGGUAAGGUAAUGGGUUACCUAGGGGACGAUCCCUAGCUGGUCUGUGAGGAUGAUCAGCCACACUGGGACUGAGACACGGCCCAGACUCCGACGGAGGGAGCAGGGGGGAAUAGUGCACAAUGGGGGCAAGCCUGAUGCAGCCAUGCCGCGUGGAUGAAGAAGGCCCUAGGGUUGGAAAGUACUUUCAGUCGGGAGGCGGUAACGACAGAAGAAGCACCGGCUAACUCCGGGCCAGCAGCCGCGGUAAUUC